UACGGAGGGUCCAAGCGUUGUUCGGAUUUAUUGGGCGUAAAGGGUGCGUAGGCGGCGUAUUAAGUCUGGUGUGAAAGGCGUGGGCUCAACCCGCGGACUGCAUUGGAUACUGGUAUGCUAGAGGACUGGAGAGGAGAAUGGAAUUCACGGUGGAGCAGUGAAAUGCGUAGAUAUCGUGAGGAAGGCCAGUGGCGAAGGCGAUUCUCUGGACAGUACCUGACGCUGAGGCACGAAGGCUGGGGGAGCGAACAGG
This 253-nucleotide ribosomal RNA is filed under the name uncultured bacterium. RNAcentral's name for it is "partial 16S ribosomal RNA". It matches the Rfam family "Bacterial small subunit ribosomal RNA", at positions 524 to 776 of the family's 1533-position model. The record is from RNAcentral.